Molecule: ribosomal RNA, 224 nt
Filed under: uncultured bacterium
Lineage: Bacteria
Description: partial 16S ribosomal RNA
Rfam family: Bacterial small subunit ribosomal RNA
Source: RNAcentral
UACGUAGGGGGCAAGCGUUUGUCCGGAAUCAUUGGGCGUAAAGCGCGUGUAGGCGGCUCAGUAAGUCCGCUCUGAAAGCCCGGGGCUUAACCCCGGGAGGCGGGUGGAUACUGCUGAGCUUGAGUCCGGAAGAGGCGAGUGGAAUUCCCGGUGAUAGCGGUGAAAUGCGCAGAUAUCGGGAGGAACACCAAUGGCGAAGGCAGCUCGCUGGGACGUUACUGACA